CAGAACUGGGUUUUACAAUUCUCAGUGAAAAGAUCAAGAGAAGGGCCAGGUGCAUCCUCAGCUGAUAUGGAGCCAAGUUUCUGAUUUUUCCCAAAAAAUUUAAACUGAAAUAAUUGAAGAACUAACUACCAGCCCGAGAGUGUGUGGGAACAUAUCCUUGUCGUAAGCUUUGCUAUUUGCCAUAAUAGUUCAAGUCAGCAAAAUUUUCAGAAAGCUAUUUAAACGGAGUUGGUGUAGGAAGGCAGAGCGUCACAAGAAUGGAUAUGUUGGCCAACGAAUGGCAAAAGCGCGGGGGCAAGUGAUGUGAUGAAAGCUCCAGGAAAACAUCUAAUUGCAGUUGGCAACCCUAGGCAGACAGCUGAAAUGUUUUAACCCCUGAAGGCUGCAAUGGUCAGGAACAAAUAAAUGACAGGUUUUCCCAACAUAUCAAUUCAUGGUGAAGAUGUUAUUAAAGGUGACAGGUCCACCUUCUUAUAUCCAAAAGACUUUGCGUGAUUUAGAAAAUGGCCUAGCGAUUCCUCAGUGGUGAUCCUGAGAUCUGACAGAAUUAAUGUUUUACUUCAGAUAUUACCAGGACUACCAUUGGUGAACACUGCACCAGCAACAUUCUAGGGGGUCCCAUAGAUCAAAAGCCUAACUGGACCAGCCAAAUAAAUGCUGUGGCCAAAAGAACAUAUCAGAGGUGCAACAAGCAACUCAACUGCUGACUCCUCAAAGGCUUUCCACCACCUACAAUCCACUAAAUGUCUUUUACAUUUAGCGAUAGAGAUUACCUUCAGAACAAUACCACCCCUCCACUUGCCUGGAUGAGUGCAGCUCUAACAACACUCAAGAAGAUCAACACCAUCCAGGACAAAGCAGCCCACUUGAUCAGCACCCUAACGCCACCUUAAAUGUUUACACCCUCCACUGGUGUACUGUGGUAGCAGUGUCUACCACAAGUCACAGUGCAGCAAAUUGCCAAGGCUUCUUUGACAAUAGCACAGGCUCCAUCUAGAAGAACAAGGGCAGCAGGCCUAUGGGAACACCACUAUCUGCAAAUUUCUCUCCAAGUCACUCACUUGGGAAAGUAUUGCUGCCGGAUCAAAGUCCUGGAGCAGUGUAGCUAACAGCUUCGUGCGUGCAUCUCCACCACCAGUUCUGCAGCCGUUCAAGGGCAAUUGGGAAUGUGCAAUAAAUGCUGUCUCCAAUAUCAAACUGAAGGAAUAAGACAAUCACGCAAUGCAGAAAUGUAUGGAAUGUCAUAUAGAAGGAGUGAAACAAACUUAGAAAAACUAACAGAUUGCAAUGAAUAUUUGGAUUCAUAAUGGUUUAAAAUAUUGAGUUCAUGUAACAUGUUUGGAUCCACAAUCAAUCUAUGAGAGUAGUUGUAAAUGUGAUCCUUUUACGUGUAUGUUUAAGGAGUAUUACAUGUACUAUAUACUAAUAAACUUGUGACACCUGA
Long non-coding RNA from Carcharodon carcharias (great white shark), 1444 nucleotides. RefSeq lists it as uncharacterized. The transcript is spliced from 5 exons. The record is from RefSeq and is a predicted model, not a curated record. NCBI's taxonomy places the organism in Eukaryota, Metazoa, Chordata, Chondrichthyes, Lamniformes, Lamnidae.